RNAcentral lists this ribosomal RNA (760 nucleotides) under uncultured Prevotella sp. RNAcentral describes it as "bacterial SSU rRNA". It matches the Rfam family "Bacterial small subunit ribosomal RNA", at positions 28 to 776 of the family's 1533-position model. The record is from RNAcentral. Lineage: Bacteria; Pseudomonadati; Bacteroidota; Bacteroidia; Bacteroidales; Prevotellaceae.
GAUGAACGCUGGCUACAGGCUUAACACAUGCAAGUCGAGGGGAAACGACGGGGAAGCUUGCUUCCCCGGGCGUCGACCGGCGCACGGGUGAGUAACGCGUAUCCAACCUGCCUCUGACUGAGGGAUAACCCGUCGAAAGUCGGCCUAAUACCUCAUGGUAUCGUCUGCGGGCAUCCAACGACGAUUAAAGAUUUCAUCGGUCAGGGAUGGGGAUGCGUCUGAUUAGCUUGUUGGCGGAGUAACGGCCCACCAAGGCUACGAUCAGUAGGGGUUCUGAGAGGAAGGUCCCCCACAUUGGAACUGAGACACGGUCCAAACUCCUACGGGAGGCAGCAGUGAGGAAUAUUGGUCAAUGGGCGAGAGCCUGAACCAGCCAAGUAGCGUGCAGGAAGACGGCCCUAUGGGUUGUAAACUGCUUUUAUGCGGGGAUAAAGUGAGGGACGUGUCCCUCAUUGCAGGUACCGCAUGAAUAAGGACCGGCUAAUUCCGUGCCAGCAGCCGCGGUAAUACGGAAGGUCCUGGCGUUAUCCGGAUUUAUUGGGUUUAAAGGGAGCGUAGGCCGUGGAUUAAGCGUGUUGUGAAAUGCAGGUGCUCAACGUCUGCACUGCAGCGCGAACUGGUCCACUUGAGUGUGCGCAACGCAGGCGGAAUUCGUCGUGUAGCGGUGAAAUGCUUAGAUAUGACGAAGAACUCCGAUUGCGAAGGCAGCUUGCGGGAGCACAACUGACGCUGAAGCUCGAAAGUGCGGGUAUCGAACAGG